GCCCUAGCUCCCUCCGCCCGCGGGUCGCCCGCUCCCUCGCGCCCCUGUUGCUCCCUCCUCGAUCCCGAUCUGGAUCGAGGGGACGAGGAGCUCCUGCCUCCCCGACGGCCGACCUCCUCCUCGCCCCGCCGCUGCGUCCGGCGCCGCCACGGUCUCUGGAGCCAGGGAAGCCAUGGCCUGAGCUCGGCCUCGAGGUCCCCGCCGCCGUCUCCUGCAGCUUCUGCCCCGCCGCCUCACCGCCCGAGCUCGCCGUCGCACCAACCUCGGCGCCGCGCCGCCGCCGGCUCUGGUCGCCUCCACCUCCGCGCCGUGAGGAACCCGCCACACGCGUCAAGGCGAGGCGCCUCCUGGGCUCCGUCCGUUUCCAGAGCGAGCGCCCGCGAAUACCUAGCUAGCCGCCGCCGUCGUGACCGUUCCAGCCACCGCCAAGGCCACACUUCCUCUUCCACCUCCGCGUACUCCUGGUUGCAGCCCCAGCUCUUCACGGGCAGGGAGAGAAGGGGGGCAUGAUCGGCGGGGCAGAGUUCUUUCGGAAGGACAGCGUGGUGGGCAACAUGGACGGAUACCUCAGCUACCUGUCCCUCGAGUAUGACUUCGUCUCGGACACCAAUCCUGCUUGGGUAUCUUCAUUUUGGAAGCAGGAAUCCUUUCCUCAUAAGAUGGAUGAGCUGUAGGAUUUGAUUCUGUUCAGCUUGAAUUAGUUUUUCAUCAUCAUGUUCUUUGUAUUAGGAAUUCAUGCCUUCCAGCUCUAAUUUUUUCGCAUUGUUAGUGUAUGCUGGGAGUCACAUUAUUAUGCUGCUAGCAAACAGUAGGAUUGGAAGUCUUACUCUGUAGGUUAGUAAUAUCUUUUCCACUAUACCGAGGUUCAGCAAUUUAAUUCGUAUUAAGGUCACACAAGCAGUUUGGUUUUCAGAUUUGUCUUGACAAACAUAUUUGGUUCAGCAAUUUAAUUCAUAUUAAAGUCACACAAGCAGUUUGGUUUUUAGAUUUGUCUUGACAAACAUAUUUUGCAGAUUAUCCUCACAUAUGAAAUUGAUUUCUGCAAGUUCCUUUCACUUCUUAUUUAUUUCUUCACUUGGUUAUGAUGUACUGCUAUUCGUUUUCAUGAUGAUUCAUGCGUUUUGUAGUUUUCACUGACAGAAUCUUGUCUUGAAACAAGAUUGGUUCCCAUUGUUACAGUGAAGUAGCUACCAAGCAGCGAGGCCAUCGAGUGACACGAGACCGCGGGACGGCGUGAGAAGAAGCAGGGGGUGUCUGGCGGGAUGGAGAAGACCACAGGGAAGUGUGGCGAUGGAGUGCAAUCCCGAAGAAGAAGAACAUUGCAAAGAAAGACCCUGGCCAAGUGCCACCCAAUUCUCUUUCACCGACCCAUCUAAUGGCCAUCAAUUCAAUUGGUCCAAGCUGUUGUGUUGACCUUCCCAUUGAUCCACUACAUCCUCGCUCAGCUGGUUCUGCUAUGUUUCUUCUCCAUGGCAUUGCUGGUUGCCGGCGUGCCUGACAUCGCGCCUUAUGUGACGUGACAUGAUGCUCCUCUACGUGUUCUUCUCACCCCGGUUUCCAUGAGGAGAGAUGUUGUUCUGUGGUUCUGUAGUUCUACUCCAUAGCAAUGAUGGAGUCACCUCCAUAUGGAUAGCAAUUAUCUCGGGAUCAUGAGAGCUGUCUACGCAACGGCCAGGGGGCAUAUGCUUCUCCUAGCACUAAGACCUCCAUCCUAUUUGAGCCAGAAUGGCUUUGGUGCCCUCUCUCGCUCAUGGUGAGGCCGUGCAUGCUUGCCAUGUUGUGGCUACGAAAUCUCAGACUGAGUCGCUUCGGUCGGGCACUAUUCAGGACAGGACAGACCCAGUGCAUAGAAGCUCCCAAAUUGUUAUGGCAGCAUGAGUGAAAAUAUGUUCCUUUUAAAUGCUUAGAUUCUAUAGACCUCUGAUGUAUAUCCUAAAUUACUGUAUUGUGUGCUUUUGUAAAAUAAACUGUAUUGAUUCAAUUUAUAUAUUUAGUACAAUGGUUUUGCUCACAUCACAAAUAUCUAACAACAAGAGUGAUUACUGAAAGCAUAAAAUAUAUUUCAAUUUCUAGGCCGCUACAUUAUUUUGAAACAUGAGCUUUUUUAAAACUGAGUGUUUGACGUAGCUUGUUGUUAUUGUCAAAAUGAAAUAGCGAGUAUAUAUUUGUUGCUUUUUGUUUAGGAAAGUGAAAAAAACAAGAUGCCGUUUGUAUGCCAGGAAUGGCAUAUGUGAACGACUCAAGUGGUAGUUUUUAGGGUAGGGGCAAGGGGCAUUUUUUAUAAACUGCCAUGGCAGUUCUUUAAUUUAGUGCAAUUUUUUGAGAAACAGCCAUCCACAGGAUCUUGAUUGUGCGGUUCUGUGUGUGUUCACUGGGACCUCAUCACCAGCGAACGUUCGCCGGGUAUUGUUCAACAUGGCUCUAAUGAUUCAAUCAAAUUUCAUUGCAAAGUAUACUGGACCAGGCUUUCCUUCUUUCUAAUGCGGUGUUAGUUGGCAUUAAGUUGUGAAAUCCAAAUCCAUACAUUUACAGUUCUUGUUGUUCUAAUUACACAAGUAUUUUCACUUUUUUUUGUUAACUAAUCUUCACACCGAACACCAUCUCAGUAACCAGACCUGAUAUAGUACUUAGUUUUGGCAUUAUACACAACAACUUUGACAUUGAUAAUUUCCUCAUAUAUUUAGUAGGACAAUAAACUUGUCUAGCAUUUCAUUAUGAGUUGCAGGCUCUGAAAAUAAAUGUAUGUGCCCCCUAAAUGAUUAAACGUGUGGUUUUGGAAUUAUGCAUGCUGACAUGCAUUGGCAAUCAUUAUUCAACAGUAUUCCUUUUCACUGAAAUAUAACCAUGUAAUGCUUACGAUUUAAUCUGGUUAUCUAGACAACUAAAUGGGUUAAUGUUAUGCUUAGUAUCUUUUGGCAUAUGUAAUGCAUGGAAGGAAACCAGUGUCUUUUGAUAGGGAUUUCUGGAGGUAACACGCCUCUGACUGUAUGCACUGAAUUUCAGAUGCUCUGUUUAGAAGAUGUCUUCUUCAGUAGUACUACAUAUUUUUAUGAUUUCCUGUAACUUGCUGAUAUGGCACUGGUUUGCCGCAUGGUGUGCUACAACUACACUCCAGGGGAAUAUUUGUUCAGAAUCUUCAGUCUUGUAAUUUUCUCCUUGAUGACAAUGACCAUGCUGUGCUGGGGGAUUUGGGAUUCCAUCCUUGCUGUUUGGACUUCCGCUGCCAAAUCCAGAUCUUAUCCAAAGACUUGGGACUCCAAAUUACAUGCCCCAGAACAUUGGCGACCAAACAUCAGAGGCCCAAUUAGUUACGAGACUGACUCGUUGGGGUUUCGCUUGGAGCAUUCUUGAGAUGUUCAGUGGCGUUCAGACUUGGUGUGCCAAAUCACCAGAUGAGAUUUAUCAGUCAGUUGUCCUGAAGAAAGAGAAACCGAUGUUCCUGUACAAUUUACCUACGGAGGUCGCUAAUGUCCUCUCUGGCUGCUAUGAGUAUGAAUUUCGGGAUCACUCCUUGAUGUUAGAUAUCUUACAGUCAUUUGAAAUGUAACAUGCUAAAACUCUGUUUCUGCUUCUGCCUUGUUAACUUACAUAAUUUGGUUAAACUGCCAUGGAUGGGUGAUUUUACCAUAUUUCAUUUUCAUAUUUGCUUAUAUUAUAUUGUACAAACUACUAAGCAUUAUUGAAGUUUGUCACAUGAAAGCAUGGAACUGCUUUCUUAGCUGUGUCGUUUAUAGUCAUAUAUGGUCAAUGCAGGUUUAUUUUCCUCCAGAGUUUACUUUUACUAUGUCCUGGUACUGGUUUUCUCUGCAGGUUUCUCUACAUUAGCUUUGUGUAUUCAAUUUUUUUGUUCCUGACAAGAAGUGCAUUGCACAUGCACACUUAUAUGAACAAGCCUUACAUGAUUUGCUCUUUUACUGAUGGACUGAGGAGGUCAGAGAUGUAUAACAGCCGUAUUGAUCCAAAUGACAAGUACGGCAGUGCUAACCUGCUUACCUAGAAUUUUACCACAUCCUAAGACUUGCAAAUCUGUAUAAUAGGAAUGGCUAGCUGUUUUCUGGUCUACAACCGUGACAUCUGGUGGCAUCUCUCACCAUGUCUGCACAUAGUGUUUAGUCAUGAUUCUUGCAUACUGUCGAGACUCGAGAAGGGCGUGACAUUUUUUCCUGAACUGAUUUCUAAUUUUUUUUUGCUUACCGGUUGAGCUCGGUUUCAACUCUUACCUGAGUAGUUGAUAGGAAAGCCUGAUGCAGGUGUAUGGAAAUUAUGCAAUUCCAUGAGGUUUGGAGUUGUCCAGUAUACUACUGAGGCCUACAUAUUUUGCUGAUGCAGGUUGGAGGUGACACAUGAACGCUGGCAACGCAAAAUAGCAGAUAUAAAAUAACUGCAGCUCAGGCCAUGUAGUUCUACAACAACCAAGGAAGAAGUCCGUUUUUUAAGCCGACCUUGGCCAAGCAUUUAAGCUUAUAUGGUUGCUCUCUAUUUUUCAGAGGUGCGUGUACUGAGGACGCCCAUGAUUUAGGGCCAAAAAUCUAGACAAAGUGACAAAACUUUGUACGAGACUUACUUGAAGCCAAGGAGGUCAGGGGAGGAGGACAACAAGGCUGGGGAGCGGAGGCGGAGACCGACGGGGAAGAGAAUGAUCAAGCAUGUAAAUCUAGAGCACAAGCUCGUGAUUUAUCAAGGGAGUGGCGCUGCCGCCGGAUUAGAAAAUCAUAUCUCACGUUAAGGUGUUUUUGUCUUUUGUUUCUGUACAAAUUUGGUGCAGGCAAGUUUUUGAUGAUAUAUAUAAGAUGACUAGCAUUAUCUUUUUAUUGAGUGCAUGUUCUGGUA
Long non-coding RNA from Triticum dicoccoides, 4830 nucleotides. RefSeq lists it as uncharacterized. The transcript has 5 exons. The record is from RefSeq and is a predicted model, not a curated record. NCBI's taxonomy places the organism in Eukaryota, Viridiplantae, Streptophyta, Magnoliopsida, Poales, Poaceae.